This is a long non-coding RNA of Sardina pilchardus (European sardine), 1580 nucleotides long. RefSeq lists it as uncharacterized. The record is from RefSeq and is a predicted model, not a curated record. The transcript has 5 exons. NCBI's taxonomy places the organism in Eukaryota, Metazoa, Chordata, Actinopteri, Clupeiformes, Clupeidae.
UCCAUGUUGGACACAUCCAGUACAGAUAGGCCUGUUACAGAAGUGAGCGACCGAGUUUAACUAAUGGCCAUACUGAAGCGGAAGGAAUAGCGGAGCUCACCAGGAAUAUCAUAACCUUGGAGACGUGGUCCAUCUCAGGAGCUCUGCUACCCCUGAUCUUCAUAUCCUUCACCUGGAGUACUGCAGAUAGGCCUGUUACAGAAGUGAGCGACCGAGUUUAACUACAUAAAGGUCAUACUGAAGAGGAAGGAAUAGAGGAGCUCACUAGGAAUAUCAUAACCAUGGAGAAGUGGUCCAUCUCAGCAGCUCUGCUACUCCUGAUCUUCAUAUCCUUCACCUGGAGUACUGCAGGACAACACCAAAAUGGUUCGGCUACUGUGACAGGUCUAACUGGUGGUGAAGUGACUGCCAUUGUGUUUGGGUCUUUUUUUCUCUCAACUUUAACAAUUGUGAUUGUAGUCGGCGUAUACAAGCGUCAUUUUAAAUAAAAUCAUCUUACAUAUGUCAAAGGGGCACAGCCAGAGGGGUGACUCCGGGUGGCACAGACAACCCUUGACCUUUCUUGGUGCACUUGCAGCGCGCUAGUUUGAAAUGUUAGACUUCAGAAAUGUAAUAACUUAGCAAAUACCCUGGCAAUUAUAGGCUACAUGGCUUAUUGUUUCUAGCAUGUCAGUUCACAGUAGGCCUACAGGCUACAGCUUGUGCUAACACACAAACAUAUCUAUUUACCAACCUAUCGCAUCUGCCAGUGCCUGUCUAUCUAAUCACACACACAACCCAGUAUUGUGUCUGUGGAAUCACGUCAUGUAUUAUUAUUGGCCUAAUAUUAUUUGCAGACAUAUGAAAUUACAUAAUAUUAUUGACAUAUAGUCAUUGUGGGAUAUAUUGACAUUGUGUGAAGUUCACAUAGGACAAUGUUUCUUAACUGGUGGGUCGCGGAACUGAUCUGAUCAGGGUGGGUCGAGGAGCUUGUGGUUAAAACUUAACUAAAAAUCGCCAAUUUAAAAUACUAUCUUAUCAGAUCUAAUGGACCUUUAUUUUGAGAAACGUUAUUUGUAGGCUAUGGCAUUAUUAGAUUAGAUUAGAAUAUGGGUUUACUUGAAUUGAGGACAAAAUAAGACAGAAAGCCCAGUGUGUGGUGUGGCACAUGAGAGCAUAAAACCAUCAAAACUAAAAUGCAACAUGGAAACAAGGCAUUCCUGUUUGAAAGGUAAUAUCAACAGUUGUCACAAAUGUAAUGCCAAACUUCUGCAUGUUCCAAACAAGUAGGUCAGGCACCAUUUAGGCUAUAGCUCACCAUAUCCGUUGGCUUGAAUGCUACAAAGAAUAUAUGGGUCGCGACUCUAUGAAUAUGGAAAAUUGUGGGUUCCAAAGCCAGACCAGUUAAGAACCACUGACAAAUGAAACAUUCCGCAUGUUCCACUUCUGCUUAAACAGCCUAAUUCCUAAACAGUGUUUGUUCAGAGCUGAAAAUGCAACUGUAUUUGACAAUGGACAGAUGUAGGUUAUUGAUAGUGACAAAAUAUUAGCUUUCAGUGUGGUACUAUCUUGUAAAUUAUGUGUAAUUAAAAAGUAGUUGU